GGUAUACACCUUCUCCACGCUUUCCUAGGUCUACCAACUGGUCUCCUUCCUUCUACCUCUAAUCUCUCCACAACUGCCAGCACUCCCCUGCUCUCUUUACAUGUCCAAACCAUCAGAGUCUUUCCCUUCUGAGCACUGUUUCCAGGUCCUCUACUAAAACUCCCAGCACUGUAUCCUCCCCUGCUCUCUUUACAUGUCCAAACCAUCAGAGUCUUUCCCUUCUGAGCACUGUUUCCAGGUCCUCUACUAAAACUCCCAGCACUGUAUCCUCCCCUGCUCUCUUCACAUGUCCAAACCAUCAGAGUCUUUCCCUUCUGAGCACUGUUUCCAGGUCCUCUACUAAAACUCCCAGCACUGUAUCCUCCCCUGCUCUCUUCACAUGU
This is a long non-coding RNA of Eriocheir sinensis (Chinese mitten crab), 383 nucleotides long. RefSeq lists it as uncharacterized. The transcript is spliced from 3 exons. NCBI's taxonomy places the organism in Eukaryota, Metazoa, Arthropoda, Malacostraca, Decapoda, Varunidae. The record is from RefSeq and is a predicted model, not a curated record.